CAGCAGCCGCGGUAAUACGUAGGGUGCAAGCGUUAAUCGGAAUUACUGGGCGUAAAGCGUGCGCAGGCGGUUCGGAAAGAAAGAUGUGAAAUCCCAGAGCUUAACUUUGGAACUGCAUUUUUAACUACCGGGCUAGAGUGUGUCAGAGGGGGGUGGAAUUCCACGUGUAGCAGUGAAAUGCGUAGAUAUGUGGAGGAACACCGAUGGCGAAGGCAGCCCCCUGGGAUAACACUGACGCUCAUGCACGAAAGCGUGGGGAGCAAACAGGAUUAGAUACCCGGGUAGUCCCUGUCUCUUAUAU
RNAcentral lists this ribosomal RNA (301 nucleotides) under uncultured bacterium. Its description in RNAcentral is "partial 16S ribosomal RNA". It matches the Rfam family "Bacterial small subunit ribosomal RNA", at positions 509 to 809 of the family's 1533-position model. The record is from RNAcentral.